UGAGAUAUAACUCAGUUGGUAGAGUGUUUGCCUGCUGUGUAUAAGGCCUGGUUUCAAUCCCCAGCACCACAA
RNAcentral lists this transfer RNA (72 nucleotides) under Ictidomys tridecemlineatus (thirteen-lined ground squirrel). Its description in RNAcentral is "Spermophilus tridecemlineatus (thirteen-lined ground squirrel) tRNA". It matches the Rfam family "tRNA". Rfam says of the family: Transfer RNA (tRNA) molecules are approximately 80 nucleotides in length. Their secondary structure includes four short double-helical elements and three loops (D, anti-codon, and T loops). The record is from Rfam by way of RNAcentral. Lineage: Eukaryota; Metazoa; Chordata; Mammalia; Rodentia; Sciuridae.